Molecule: ribosomal RNA, 670 nt
Filed under: Pseudomonas aeruginosa
Lineage: Bacteria; Pseudomonadati; Pseudomonadota; Gammaproteobacteria; Pseudomonadales; Pseudomonadaceae
Description: bacterial SSU rRNA
Rfam family: Bacterial small subunit ribosomal RNA
Source: RNAcentral
UCAGCGGCGGACGGGUGAGUAAUGCCUAGGAAUCUGCCUGGUAGUGGGGGAUAACGUCCGGAAACGGGCGCUAAUACCGCAUACGUCCUGAGGGAGAAAGUGGGGGAUCUUCGGACCUCACGCUAUCAGAUGAGCCUAGGUCGGAUUAGCUAGUUGGUGGGGUAAAGGCCUACCAAGGCGACGAUCCGUAACUGGUCUGAGAGGAUGAUCAGUCACACUGGAACUGAGACACGGUCCAGACUCCUACGGGAGGCAGCAGUGGGGAAUAUUGGACAAUGGGCGAAAGCCUGAUCCAGCCAUGCCGCGUGUGUGAAGAAGGUCUUCGGAUUGUAAAGCACUUUAAGUUGGGAGGAAGGGCAGUAAGUUAAUACCUUGCUGUUUUGACGUUACCAACAGAAUAAGCACCGGCUAACUUCGUGCCAGCAGCCGCGGUAAUACGAAGGGUGCAAGCGUUAAUCGGAAUUACUGGGCGUAAAGCGCGCGUAGGUGGUUCAGCAAGUUGGAUGUGAAAUCCCCGGGCUCAACCUGGGAACUGCAUCCAAAACUACUGAGCUAGAGUACGGUAGAGGGUGGUGGAAUUUCCUGUGUAGCGGUGAAAUGCGUAGAUAUAGGAAGGAACACCAGUGGCGAAGGCGACCACCUGGACUGAUACUGACACUGAGGUGCGAAA